GAUGAACGCUGGCGGCGUGCUUAACACAUGCAAGUCGAACGGAAAGGCUCCUGCUUGCAGGGGUACUCGAGUGGCGAACGGGUGAGUAACACGUGGGUGAUCUGCCCUGCACUUCGGGAUAAGCCUGGGAAACUGGCUCUAAUACCGGAUAGGACGAUGGUUUGGAUGCCAUUGUGGAAAGUUUUUCGGUGUGGGAUGAGCUCGCGGCCUAUCAGCUUGUUGGUGGGGUAAUGGCCUACCAAGGCGUCGACGGGUAGCCGGCCUGAGAGGGUGUACGGCCCCAUUGGGACUGAGAUACCGCCCAGACUCCUACGGGAGGAAGGAGUGGGGGAUAGUGCAAGAAGGGCGGAAGCCUGAUGCAGCGACGCCGGGUGGGGGAUGACGGCCUUCGGGUUGUAAACUCCUUUCGCUAGGGACGAAGCCCAAGUGACGGUACCUUGAGAAGAAGCACCGGCUAACUACGUG
Molecule: ribosomal RNA, 465 nt
Filed under: uncultured bacterium
Lineage: Bacteria
Description: partial 16S ribosomal RNA
Rfam family: Bacterial small subunit ribosomal RNA
Source: RNAcentral